RNAcentral lists this ribosomal RNA (492 nucleotides) under uncultured bacterium. RNAcentral describes it as "partial 16S ribosomal RNA". It matches the Rfam family "Bacterial small subunit ribosomal RNA", at positions 28 to 507 of the family's 1533-position model. The record is from RNAcentral.
GAUGAACGCUAGCUACAGGCUUAACACAUGCAAGUCGAGGGGAAACGACAUCGAAAGCUUGCUUUUGAUGGGCGUCGACCGGCGCACGGGUGAGUAACGCGUAUCCAACCUGCCCAUCACUUGGGAAUAACCUUGCGAAAGUAAGACUAAUACUCAAUGACAUCCCCUGAAGACAUCUGAAUGGGAUUAAAGAUUUAUCGGUGAUGGAUGGGGAUGCGUCUGAUUAGCUUGUUGGCGGGGUAACGGCCCACCAAGGCAACGAUCAGUAGGGGUUCUGAGAGGAAGGUCCCCCACAUGGGAACUGAGACCCGGUCCAAACUCCUACGGGAGGCAGCAGUGAGGAAUAUUGGUCAAUGGGCGAGAGCCUUAACCAGCCAAGUAGCGUGCAGGAUGACGGCCCUAUGGGUUGUAAACUGCUUUUAUAAGGGAAUAAAGUGGGUCUCGGGAGACUUUUUGCAUGUACCUUAUGAAUAAGGACCGGCUAAUUCCGUG